RNAcentral lists this ribosomal RNA (253 nucleotides) under uncultured bacterium. RNAcentral describes it as "partial 16S ribosomal RNA". It matches the Rfam family "Bacterial small subunit ribosomal RNA", at positions 524 to 776 of the family's 1533-position model. The record is from RNAcentral.
UACGUAGGGCGCAAGCGUUAUCCGGAAUUAUUGGGCGUAAAGAGCUCGUAGGCGGUUUGUCGCGUCUGCCGUGAAAGUCCGGGGCUCAACUCCGGAUCUGCGGUGGGUACGGGCAGACUAGAGUGAUGUAGGGGAGACUGGAAUUCCUGGUGUAGCGGUGAAAUGCGCAGAUAUCAGGAGGAACACCAGCGGCGAAGGCGGCGCUCUGGGCCGGUACUGACGCUGAGGAGCGAAAGCAUGGGGAGCGAACAGG